Molecule: unclassified non-coding RNA, 299 nt
Filed under: Hevea brasiliensis (rubber tree)
Lineage: Eukaryota; Viridiplantae; Streptophyta; Magnoliopsida; Malpighiales; Euphorbiaceae
Source: RNAcentral
UAAAAAGCAAUUUUGGCCCUCUAACUACAAUAUCAAACAGUCACUAAGCCAAUUGCUAGAAACUUUUUCUACUGCCAUUUCCUUCACAUCCCCUGCUGCUGAGGACUUGGAGAAAAACAGCCUUAUUUGAUACAACUAAAGAUUAAUUAGCUAUGACAUAAUUUCUAGAUUUCUGAAACAAAAUCCGGAAAGCAAGAUAAAAUUGUAGCUGCUAGUUGAACCUUGCGAUUGCCAGUAGAAAGAACAGAGGCCAAGUAAUGAACUGUUACAAAAUGAAAAUUUCUAAGCAUAUGAUGAAA